AAGUCGUAACAAGGUAACCGUAGGUGAACCUGCGGUUGGAUCAUUACCAAUCCCUUUGCUAGCAAUAGCAAUUAACCCCUGUGCAUCAAUUAUCGUUUCUGGCAGUCUAGCUUUGCAAAAGGCGAAGCUGCCAACAUAUAAACUCUAAUGUUUUGCCUUAAACUUAAUGUAAAAAUUAAAAACAACUUUUGACAACGGAUCUCUUGGCUCUC
This 212-nucleotide unclassified non-coding RNA is filed under the name fungal sp. Its description in RNAcentral is "partial contains small subunit ribosomal RNA, internal transcribed spacer 1, and 5.8S ribosomal RNA". The stretch from base 1 to 46 matches the Rfam family "Eukaryotic small subunit ribosomal RNA", at positions 1786 to 1831 of the family's 1831-position model. Lineage: Eukaryota; Fungi. The record is from RNAcentral.